GAUGAACGCUGGCGGCGUGCCUAAUACAUGCGAGUCGAGCGAACAGACGAGGAGCUUGCUCCUCUGACGUUAGCGGCGGACGGGUGAGUAACACGUGGAUAACCUACCUAUAAGACUGGGAUAACUUCGGGAAACCGGAGCUAAUACCGGAUAAUAUAUUGAACCGCAUGGUUCAAUAGUGAAAGACGGUUUUGCUGUCACUUAUAGAUGGAUCCGCGCCGCAUUAGCUAGUUGGUAAGGUAACGGCUUACCAAGGCAACGAUGCGUAGCCGACCUGAGAGGGGUGCUCGCCAACACGGAACCUGAAACCCGGCCCAGCCCCCACGGGGGGGCAGAAGUGGGGAAUCUCCCGAAAGGGGCGAAGGCCUGACGGAGCACCGCCGGGGGAGGAAUAAAGGUCUUCGGAUCUAAAAACUUUUUUAUGGGGAAAAAAAAAAUGUGAAAGUAAUUAUGCCCGUCUGGCGGGUACCAAAACAAAAACCCCCGCCUAACUCCGU
Molecule: ribosomal RNA, 497 nt
Filed under: uncultured bacterium
Lineage: Bacteria
Description: partial 16S ribosomal RNA
Rfam family: Bacterial small subunit ribosomal RNA
Source: RNAcentral